Molecule: ribosomal RNA, 672 nt
Filed under: uncultured archaeon
Lineage: Archaea
Description: bacterial SSU rRNA
Rfam family: Archaeal small subunit ribosomal RNA
Source: RNAcentral
CGUAGUCAACCUGCCCUGGAGACAAGGACAGCCCCGGGAAACUGGGAUUAAUCCUUGAUAGGUCAUCUCAUCUGGAAGGAGAGAUGGCUUAAAGGGGUACGCGGGCUUCUUCCGCGAAUUCGCUCCAGGAUGGGACUGCGUCCGAUCAGGCUGUUGGCGGGGUAAUGGCCCACCAAACCUGUAACCGGUACGGGCCUUGAGAGAGGUGGCCCGGAGAUGGACACUGAGAGAAGGGUCCAGGUCCUACGGGGCGCAGCAGGCGCGAAACCUUCGCAAUGCGCGAAAGCGUGACGAGGUUAAUCCGAGUGACUUCCGCUGAGGAGGUCUUUUGUCAGCUGUAAAUAGGCAGGCGAAUAAGGGGAGGGCAAGCCUGGUGUCAGCCGCCGCGGUAAUACCAGCUCCUCGAGUGGUCGGGGCGAUUAUUGGGCCUAAAGCAUCCGUAGCCGGUUCCGUAGGUCCUCUGUUAAAUCCGACUGCUUAACAGUUGACCUGCAGAGGAUACCGCGGGACUAGGAGGCGGGAGAGGCGGACGGUACUCCGCGUGUAGGGGUAAAAUCCUUUGAUCCGCGGAAGACCACCAGUGGCGAAGGCGGUCCGCCAGAACGCGCUCGACGGUGAGGGAUGAAAGCUGGGGGAGCGAACCGGAUUAGAUACCCGGGUAGUCCCAGCCGU